This 5317-nucleotide long non-coding RNA is filed under the name Sus scrofa (pig). RNAcentral describes it as "lncRNA (ENSSSCG00005025293.1)". Lineage: Eukaryota; Metazoa; Chordata; Mammalia; Artiodactyla; Suidae. The record is from RNAcentral.
AAGGAAGGGGGACUCCAGAGGAAAAACCCUGAUGAAGACACAGUUCUCAGCCUUUAAUGAUUUAUUUUGUCUUAUUAGGGCUACACCUGCAGCAUAUGGAGCCUUGCAGAUGUGACACUGUUUUAAUCAUGUUGGCUCUUAAAAAUGGAAUUCUGGAGUUCCCUGGUGGCUCAGUGGGUUAAGGAUCCGGCGUUGUCACUGCUGUGGCUCUGGUUACUGCCGUGGUGCGGGUUUGAUCCCUGACCUGGAAACUGACACAUGCUGUGGGUGCGGCCAAAAAAAUGGAGUUCUGAGACAGUUCUCAAUCUUGUGCCUGCUGUUUCAAAGAAAGCCUGGUGUUCAUUACUUAGUUCACUUAUCAGCAAAUGUUGGGUCUGGUGGUGAAGAGGGGUGGAAACUGGGGAGAACACUGGUUCUGGGCUGCCUGGGGAACCUUGGACAGGGAUUUAGCUUCUCUGAGCCUCAUUUUGUUUAUCUGUAGAGGCAGUAAUUGACCGUGUCAUUGAAAUAAGCAAUGCGAAACUUAAGUCAGACCUGGCACACAGCACACCCUUCCUGAGGGUUAUUAGUCAUUCCCUCUCACUUCCAUGGAGUUCAAGGGUACAGGUGGCUGGAGAUGCCUUCUCCCUUUAUCCAGCAGCCCUGCACAGUAGAUCUUAUCUAGCAUUUUAUGGAGAAGGCAACCCAGAGAAAUUACCAAGCUUGUCCAAGGACACAAGCUAAUAAUAAGUGGUAGAGUUAGAAGACCGUGAUAAAAGACCUCCCCUCGGCACCUUGGGGAGGUACCAGGCUGAGGGGUUUCUGUGACUAUCUUAGCAGGAACUUGGUUGCCUUGCCUGGAGCUCUGAAUUAGGAGCCUCAGCCUAAAAACAGACACCCAGGCAAGACUUUCUGAGUCCUCUUGGGAGAGAGCAUCUGUGGUGUGAGUCUCUCCAGGGCUAGUGAGGAAGGUUCUAGAAGACAGGAUUCAAGGCUGCUGCUUUUGAAGAAUGGAAUCAUGAGGGUCUUGGGAAAUAAGUAGUGAGUUCCUGCCCAGUUUUAUGCCUUGGUUUUCUCUCUGUCCCAUGGAAAUGAAAAGGUCACCAUUGGCUGCCUGCUGCUUGAGCCCAGCCCGCACCUGUUGGUGGCCUGCAAGGGGCCUGCUCUGAAUGCACAAAGGGAGGCUGGGGAGGAAGCCUGACCUUGGCUCGGGGAGGCCUCGGGAGAUAAAGCUCAGACAAGGGAUCGAGAGCCUGCGCAGCUUCCAUGGCUGAUUGCCAGCUGGGACAGUGGGCUGAGCCCAUGUUUGCUGCAGCCCCUGUGCUUGUCCGAAGACUUAAUCAGAGAAGGGAGGGCACACAGCCUGUAGACUCACCCAUCACUGUGCCCUUUAUAACCUGGAGCGUCUCCCUCUCUGUUACCUGAGAAAAAGCUGCCCCCCUCCCCGCCCCCUGACACAGAAGGCUCCUGGAAGCCCAGCCCCGCAGGUGAGUGGCUCAGAGAUUGGGUGGUGGUUGGGGGAUCAGAAGGCAGGGAGGGUUGUGCAGAUGGGAGGGGAAGGUGGAAGUAAGUGUGACCGAGAUGAAGGGGUCUCCUGGGACGUGGGAUUUGGGGGCUAAAAUGGGAAAGCCCCAGGCAAAUCGGGACCAGUUGGUCACCCUAGUCAGGCAGAGUCCUGCCACCCCGGCUGUGGCACUGGGCAGGCUGGGUCAUGAUGGACCUGAAAGAGGGGGCCCCUUGAGGCUCAGUGCCCCCUCAGACUUGAUUGCAUGAAGAAUCCGUGACUCUGCUGUCCCCCAAGUCUGUGAGCACAGGAUGGCAGAAACCACCCUAUCCUCGGGCCAGCUCCUGCCUGUCCCCAAGCACAGAACAUUUAGUAAGCGCUGGAGGAUGAAGGAAUGAGGGGUGAGGGCCUCUGCCAAAUUACUCAGGUGCUGGUUCAUGCUUUGCUACUUUGCACAUGCUGUUCCCUCUCCUACAUGCCCUUCCCUGCCUUGACAGUCCCUGACCACACGUGUCCCCUCUGAGCCAAACCUUAACUCCCUGACGGGCUUGCUCUGUUCAUGCUUCUGCCCCCUGCCCCCAGCAGUGACCCCCUCCAGGGAAGGUCCCAGCUUAGUAUUUGCUCUGCUGCCCUUGGCGCCUGGAGGUGCCGUAAAGCUUUCUUGAGCAGAUGAAUGGCGCUGACUGCAUAGAGCAAAGAGUCAUUCACUCGCCAACUUCUGGCCGAGGGCCUGCUGCAGGCCAGGCACUGUCCUAGGCACAGGGGCAGGAGCAGUGGAUAUGACUAACAAAAUCUUUGCUCUGAUAGAACUUACAUUCUAGAUGGUUCUAGAAGCAUCUAGAUCUAAUGAACAAGCAAUAAGUCAACAGACCGUAUCAGAAGGUCCAGUGCGCUGAAGGCGAUGCAAAGGAGAAGGCAGGCGUCCGAGUCCUUGCCAGGUGCUGGCAGGCCGAGGCGGAGGCCACAGCUCCCUGGAGGGGAAGUGAUUCAGGCCCAGCACAUGUGGCUCCCUUCCCCUGGACGCAGCCAGCACAUACCUUCCCCUGGGUGGUGGCAGCCCCGCUGUUGAGUGUGGCCAACUCGGGGAGGGUGGCAUUUGCCUGUCGUGCAAAGUCCCUGCGAGGAAAUCCAUUAAAGCCACUAUUGUGCAAGAGAAGGCAGAAAACACAUUUUUGAAGGUCACGUGGUGUUGGUGCCUGGUGUGGGAGGCCCAGGGUGUGUCUGCGCCCCUGGCCCCCUGGGACCAGAUUGCAAAGAAUGGGGCUCACGUGCUGGCUGCCCCUCUCCCCCAGUGGGUGGGUGACCUUGCCAGGCAGUAGCAGGAGGGCUCGGGCUCCCCUAAGUGAUGGCUGGGGAGCCCAGGUCCCUCCAGGGGGAAAGGGAUACGCCCCCCUGCCAUUAGGUCAAGGGGGAGAAGGAGGGUGACAGUGCUGGUCAGCUUCCAGGCUGCACGCAACAGUGGGGUAUUGUCCACUGUGACUGACGGGGCGCUCACCCCCAGACACAGGCCCUUUGGGGAGGGAUGGGGUAGCAUCCAGCAGGGCCAGGUGCCCUGUGCCCAGAAAACAUGCUGCUCCCCAGAGCCCCACACGGCUUCUCUUUGCUGCCUGAAUGCAGGUGGCCCCUGGUGCUGAGGCCCAGGGGGCUCGAGGAGGCACCUCUGCAUCUGUAAAGGACAUGGCUCACCCCUGCUGGUGACACCGUCAUGUUGCCACCCCUGGAGAGCCAGGAACAAGUCAGUCCCCAGGCCGGUGCCCUUGGCUUCACACAGGCACAUCGUAAACCUGGCGUCUCGAAGCCCUGGCAGGAACGGGCAUGUGCUAAUUAUAAUCUACACGGCCUGUUAACCAUUGACCUUGGACUCCAAGGAGGCGAAGGCUCCAGGGGGGGAGGCCUUAGGGGUGCUCUGAGGCCUCCAGAUACAAGGCAGGGCCUUCUGUGACUCAGAGGAUGGGCUCUUGGGUAGCUCGGUGGACGCUACUUGCAGCUUUGGCAGAAGGGAGAUGGUUUUGCGCCCCUUGGACUCUGCCGGGGGCGCCCCUUGGACUCGGCCGGGGGACUCUUGGGAGACAAGUCAGCAGGAUUACCUUCCGUGUGACCUCAGGCAGGUCACGUAACCACUUUGGACCUUGACUUCUUCACCUAUAAAAAGAAGGCCGGAGUUCCCUUCGUGGCUCAGUGGAAACAAAUCUGACUAGUAUCCAUGAGGACACAGGUUCGAUCUCUGGCCUCGCUCAGUGGGUUAGGAAUCCAGCAUUGCCGCAAGCUGUGGUGUAGAUCACAGAAGUGGCUCGGAUCCCCAGUUGCUGUGGCUGUGGUAUAGGCCAGCAGCUACUGCUCUGAUUUGACCCCUAGCCUGAGAAUCUUUAUAUGCUAUGGGUACAGCCCUAAAAGACAGGAAAAAAAGAGAAGGCAAUCAUUUCUAUUUUAAUUGGAAAAGGGAGACCUCAAUGAGGUAGUGUGUGUAAGCACCUAAUACAGGAACUGACACCUAGUAGGUGCUUAAAAAUGUUGGUUCCUAGCCAUUACCCCCUGAAAAAUCCUGGAGGGCUUCCUGGAGGUGGUGAUGCUAGCACUGAUGAGUGAAUGCAGGCAGGCAAAGAAGAGCAUUGAGGGGAGAAGCCACUUGGUGUGUACUGGGAGCCCUGGGGAGGUCUGGCUCAGGAAGAAGAGGUGGGAAGAGGUGGGAGGUAAACCUGCAGAGGUGGGUGGAGAAGGACGGCCACUGCCCCAGUACGCUUUGUGGACUUUCUCAGGGGCAGGCCAUGGAGCUGUGGAGGGAUUGAGUCAGAUGGACCUUUGACUCUGAACCUAACUGCCCCUUUCUGCCAAAGAGAGAGAACUCUGGUCUCUGCCUCCUGCGAGACCGGAGGCAAGUUGAAGCUCUCUGGUGCCUGCGACCCUGGACCCGGGCGUGGAUUUGGCUCUGCGGGGCCGUGUCAGCAAGCACAGCGCUGGAAACUCACUUGCUCCCCACACUCCCAUUUGGAACAAACUCUGCCUGCCUUAGACUGUUCUCACUGCUGGGGUUCAUUUAUUUAAUAAGAGUAGGGUUCGACUUGUUCUGUGUCCUUAGAUAAACCAAACCUGAAAACCACGGGAGCGCUUUUUUUUUUUUUUUUUUAAGCUGGGAAGUAAAGUGUGCUGGGUUUUCUAGUCUGUCUUAUUCCAGCCAUGACACAGACCCUGGGUCGGCAAGAUCUGGCUUCGGUGGGUCUGAGAGGCCCGUCUUUGUAUCGAGGGCCUGGUGUAUGCCAGGCUCCCUGCCAGGCCCUUGCAUGCUUCUUGGUGCCAUUGGUAUCCUCACUUUACAAACAAGGAAACUGAGGAACAGAGAGGUUAAUACACUUGCUCAGGGUCACAUAGCUAUUCGAUGGAGAAGCCAGAUUCAGUCCCACACUGGCUACACUUCACAGACUACCUUUUCUUUAGAGCGUAAUGUGAAAGCUGGGCUUCCUAAUUUUAAAAUCUAAUGGAACUGUGAAAUCUCUUCAUUUGUUAUUGGAAUGUAUGCAGCUUUAAAGUCCUCUAAUUUUUUUGUUAAUUGCCACUACCACCUUAAAGAAACUGACAUUUAAGAAAUGUACCUAUGGGAGUUCCCACUGUGGCUUAAUGGAUUAAGAGCCUGACUAGUAUCCAUGAGAAUGUGGGUUUGAUCCUUGGCCUUGCUCAGUGGGUUAAGGAUCCUGUGUUGCCAUAAGCUGCGGUGGAGGUCACAGACAUGGCUCUGAUCCUGCUUUGCUGUGUCUGUGAUGUCAGCUGGCAGCUGCAAUGCUGAUUCGACCUCUAGCCUGGGAGCUUCCGUGUGCUGUAGGUGCAGCCCUAAAAAGAAAA